UUUUUGUUCCAGGAAAUUGGACAUAGAUCACUUUAGGUGUGUAAGUGACUCUAUCACGCAAGUUAACUGAAAAAUCCAGUGCUUGGAGAAGUAACCUUUUCUUUUCAUGCACCCAAACUUUGACGUUUCCAUGGCAGGCCCAUUGGCUGGAGGUGUCUCUCGGUUGCAAUGGUGGGAGUCGGCCUUUUGCUCUCGGCAAAAGGAGCACCUGAAGGGACACUUGUCCAAGUUCCCAGUGUUGUCUUCCAAGGCUCUUUUCUCUUGGGACUCGUCAACAGGGCCGCUCUAGGAUACGAGUAAGCUCUUGGUCUUUGUAAUCUGUGCGUUUGAAGUUCUGUGUGGAAAUUUGCAAUGCUUGCACGUGGGAACUGUUGCAGUGCAUCCGCUGGUAAUAGCUGGCUGGUAAGAGGAUGUCACCAUUGUCUUUGAAAAGCUCUUAGAAGUUCCGUGUGCUUGUUUCCUCCCAGGUGUGGACUAACGACGACUCCAUUUAACUUGCUUCCAGUGGGAUGUAUCGACGGAGGAAGAGCUCUCCAGGUUCGUAAUUCACUCAAAAUCCAACUCUUGAUCAUGACUCUGAGUGAGUGCAUACAGGCCGCAUUCGGGAGCAAGGUGUUGAAUAUCGCUGGCUUGAUCACUUACGUGCUACUAGGACUGGGAGUGGUAAUCUUAGAAACGUUUAAGCCUUUCUUCUCACUCAACGUUCACGCAGUUGGGAGGUCCACUGUCUUUGCCGUGGGGUUUGUACAUUAUCAUCGUCCAGGUACGUCGGUUCUUUCCUUUCUUAGAGAGUUCUUACUGUCUGUUUUCCGAUACAGAGAUCGUCUGGGAAGGCCUGCCUCAAGGACGUUACUGGUGUUGGCACUUGGAGGCAAAUCGUCUAUGCUGUGACGCUAGUGUUGGUCGUUUUGACGCUCUUGCCGUUGUGGGAUGGCCUGGCCACCCAGCUUGGCAUUGGCAUUGGAACCCCAGACUCACUCGAUCUAUUUAUGUGAAAGCUUCCAGGAGAAACGAUGGGUUUUUUUUCUUUCCAUUUCGCGGCAAGAAACAAUUUUGCACGCAUUCGUUGACAGAGAACCUGUGUGACGAGAUUGUGGUACAAGAAAAUGAUGUGCUUGCAACUCUGCCGAUUUUGAAUUCCUUUUUGGAAAUCAAAACAAUUUACAUUCCUAUUGUCACCUUGUAAUGAGUGACGCGUUUCAAGUGGAACUGGCGUCUGGCCUGCCUCAAGGUAACUUCCUCCCUUUGUGGAGACAUGGACACUGUGGUUGUAGACAAGGAGCUUAAUCUCAACCAGAGUUGGGACUACACAGACGCGCACGACAACAUUUUCUUUCCCAGCUUUGUGAGAAACUGUCGCGGUCCCUCGCCAACAAUUUACGUGUGGGGACUCCCUUCAGGUGUCACCGAUGCAGAGCUCAUCACUCACUUUUCCCCGCAUGGCGAGAUAGCUGCCACUGAGGUGUUUGCAUCCGAGGAAGGGAAGCCGCGAGCACGAGUUCGAUUUGCUACCAAAGAACAAGCAACCGAAGCUGUCGCUUGCAAGCAGUACAGCGUCGUCAAUGGCUCCACAAUCCGGCUCGCCUUUGCGAUCAAUGGGAAACCAAAGAAAACGUCCAGCAGCAACGCAGCGGAGGCUGGAGACUAGCCGAAAGAGAAAGAGGUACUUCCAAGCUUUCAUAAAUUCAACGUGUGGACUAAACCAUACCAAUGACCAUUUCUCCUUGGUUGCAGAUGUCAACGUUUCUCUCUUGUCUCAAACAGAGAAGCUGCGAAUUGGAACUUUCUACGAUUAUGCAUCAGUGUGAUGUCCAUCAUUUUUGACUUCGCGCAGAUUAAAAGGUGUAUGUUUCGUCGCACAGCCAUCCGAGAGUUUGCCAUGGAGGGACAAUCAUCAAAGUAUCUGAUGGCUUGGCUUUUGAUAGUAACGAUCGAGCUCCACUUCUUGGCAGCGGGGUGUCGGCUGCUAGAGCACGAGAUCACGUCUCGGACAGUCGUGGAAGCUUCGGUCUAUUGCGAGAUUUGCCACGAAGGGCGCAGCAUCAAGAACAUAGCACUGCCUGGUCCGUACUAUCUCCAUCUCUAUAAGUUCCUGUCGAUGAUCACCAGUUCUAGUGGAGUUUACAUUCUCGGCAUGGUUUGAUCCAGGUGUUGUUGCGUUCCUGGAGUGCAAUGGUGCUCGUGUCAGUGGCAGUAGCACCACGGACUCGUCCGGAAAAUGAUCGGUGGAUGUUCCCAGCGGCUACAACUUGGAGAGGGAUUGCCGAGUGUCCGUGCUCGUAAAUCCGCGCUGUUUGCAAUGGGUGGUUCAUUGUCACAAGCUCGUGGGGAGUGGAGGAAGUGCCGUUGCAUACAAAUAAGCUCAAAGCUCCCAUCCGGAACAUCACUGCUCGACCAGCUGUCCCUUGAUCUUCCCAACGAACCCAAGAGCCAGCAGCACGUGGAUGUUUCGAUGGCGAUCCUCCCAUUCCUACGGGAAAGCUGCGCCAACACCGAAGUGGCUCUGGAGAUCAAGAACUUCUGUCUUGGUGUGGAUGACAACGAGGUAAUCAUCAACACCAAGGCUCUUGGAUUCUACCCAUACCGCUUCGAACUCCAUAUUAAUCCACAGCUUGGCGAGAUGGAAAAUUCUCCCAUUGCUAUCUAUGACUACAAUUUCCAUGACGGUGCUCGUGCUAAUGCCAACUCCAGCACUCUCACCACUCUCACCAAGAACAGCGAAGGUGAGCUUGGAGCUCGACUUGAUUUACAGGCAGUAAAGUUCAUAGUAAAGAAGUCGUGGGGGCAGUCACUCCAAGAGCCAAUGGACUACGAGUCCAUCAGUGUUGGAGCUCCAGGGAACAUGGCAGAGCUUGAGUGGAAAUUACUUCGCUGGAAUUGCAACGGGACGGAGUAUAAUCCAUCCAAUCCACACUCUGGGCUAAGUUCCCUCGAGGUACAUGUUAUUCCUUUGGAUUCCUUUCACUUCGUUUUCUUUGUAGGCGCCUUUCCGAGGACGACGAACAAAAAUCAGCGUGGAAGACUUUCCUGUUAUUGUGUGGCAUCUGCCUGCGAGCACGGCGUCCAAGUUUCAGCUCAAGUUCAACAUUCGUCUGGAGGCCGACAUGCAUCUCCUCUGGUACCAGAGAAGCAGCUGGAUGUGCCCAAGAGCCAAGGAGUAUAUCAGCAAGAGAGUCGAAUUUUCUCGUGAGUUUGCGGUUACCGAUGGUAAUAAAAAACGAAAGUUCUUUUUCCCUUUGUCAUUUAGACUAAAAGUUUGGCGCGAAAUGUGUACACCCCUGGUUAGGGUUAGGGCAUCCCUGGCAGAGGGAGGCGCGGUUCAAGCGCUUCCUCCGCACAGGCGCGCGCAGGUCUUGCUUCGAGACCAGACAUGGCGGGCCUCACAGUGCGCCUUCUCGAGCUAGCGGGUAAGCAAGCGUCUUGAUUCUCUUUCCUCUCAAGAUCGAGACUUGGUCAAUGCAGAAGGCAGCCAUGUCAAGAGCCUGGAGCAGGCAUCACGGAUGCGGUGGCGGCCAAGGACGCGGUGAUCCGCGAUUUUGCCAAGCGCGCACGCUGGAGGAAUUCGAGGAGUACAGGCGGCCAUCCAAGGAGAGGAAGACAAUGGACGCCGAGGUGGACGUGUCCGAGCGCGUCUCCUACGCUCACAGGAUAAGCUACACCCGAUUAUCUUCUCGGUCAGCCCCCUCAGGAGCAGCAACGCAGCCCUACCACUACAGCGACAUGGAUCUGGGCGUCUUGAAAGCUCCGGAAACCGCACCGCCACCAGCGCCAUUCCUGCCGUCGCCAACUGUGAAAAAAUCACCACCAAAAGAAGCAGCAGCAGGAAAGCUCACGCCCUCUCCACUCCGGUUACACUUCCCGGACUGCCUCCCGGAUGGAAGCCCGGAGAUCCGGUUCCACUGCCGGAAGUGGCACCGCCAGCACCAAUUCCAACAGCGUGCGCUCCAGGAGUAAUCAAGGUGCCGUUCGUGCAGCUGGAUUUAAACCCGGAGCUCGAGGACGACUACGCCUUGGACGAGGAGCAAAGCUCCGAGGAAGAGUGAGGAACCAAGUAAGUUGGCAUUCUUUCUAAGUUCUUUGAGACUUCCUUUGUACCCUCAGGCUAACCACGAUCAAAAUCAAGAAGUCUCAUGUCCUACCAGGAAGGAGAACUCGAUAUUGCAAGUUAAAAUCAAAACUUUGGGGGGAACAAAUACUCAAUUCAAAUCCGGGGGUAAGAACAGCCUUUUCCACUUACACCAGGUCUUGCGUAACCGACUUCUUAACCUUGAGCUACAGAAGCACGGACUUCACGAACGCGAAGAAAAAGCUCUCGGUUCUGCCAGAAGAGAAGAUCUACCGGAAGGGGAACUGCUGCAUCAGCGGUCUCAGUCGUUCUAAAACAUCCGACAUGAUUCAAGCACAUCGUCGCGAUCAUGCCGAGCUCCCGCGGCACCUUGACGUGAUCCGGCAGUAGCCUCAGCCGGGAUCCACGAUGGGGAGGACAUGGUUCGCCCUCCCAGCGCGACCAACCAGGUACGUUCCCAACUACCUGAACUUUCCUGUUACUGAUGAUCUCCGCCAGCAGAAGACGUCCAUGGCGGCGAUGGUGGCGGCGCGAUCGUCCAGGGGGAAACCCUCCUCGUGCUGCAAAUACCGGGCGUCCUCCACCGUGUCGACCCGGUGGCGCCGCCGCUGUGCCUGGCGCUGCGCAUCUACCUCGCCUUCGCCGCCGCCAAGUGCGUCAAGACGCUCCACUACGGCCACGAGAUCGUCCCCCGCGAUCCCCGCUCCACAAACUUGUGUAUCGAGCGCGACUGGAUCGUCCCCACUUCCCCGGUCGAACGGGUCUCUGGCAGUACGUCGUCUCUUUUUUAUCACGGCUGGUGGAAGUCUUCAGCUUGGAUUUGCCACACAGGUACAUACACCGUUUUUCAUCUCUCCUGAAACUCAUUCUUACCUGGUUUCUUGUUUUUUUGCUGUGGUUGCAAGUUUCAAAGCUUCCACCCGAAAUCGUCCAGUUCCACAGAGCCACCGGAUUUAGAUCUUGUAGUGCCUUAUGUGGAGUCAGCUCUUCGGCUCGCAUAUGGAGUGCAACUGGUUCAUGUAAGUAAUCUUUCUAAUGUUUUUGUUCCAGGAAAUUGGACAUAGAUCACCUUUAGAUGUGUAAGGACUCUUGGUAGUUUCGGUGCUAUCACGCAAGUUACAACCACGGUGCUUGGAGAAGUUACCUUUUCUUUUCAUGCACCCAAACUUUAUGGCAGGCCCAUUGGCUGGAGAAUUUCUGUCGGUUGCAAUGGUGGGAGUGGGCCUUUUGCCUUCGGCAAAAGGAGCACCUGAAGGGACACUUGUGCAAGUUCCCAGUGUUGUCUUCCAAGGCUCUUUUCUCUUGGGACUGGUCGCCAGGGCCGCUCUAGGAUACGAGUAAGCUUUUGGUCUUUGUAAUCUGGGCGUUUGUUUUGAUGAAGCUCUGUGUGGAAUUUUCCAAUGCAGUGUAUUGCACGCGGGAACUGUUGCAGUG
RNAcentral lists this long non-coding RNA (5500 nucleotides) under Selaginella moellendorffii. Its description in RNAcentral is "long non-coding RNA (SMOE_LNC001420)". Lineage: Eukaryota; Viridiplantae; Streptophyta; Lycopodiopsida; Selaginellales; Selaginellaceae. The record is from RNAcentral.